Long non-coding RNA from Physella acuta, 295 nucleotides. RefSeq lists it as uncharacterized. The record is from RefSeq and is a predicted model, not a curated record. NCBI's taxonomy places the organism in Eukaryota, Metazoa, Mollusca, Gastropoda, Physidae.
GCCACGAUAUAUGUGCUUUUCGUGUUUUCUUCUAUUAGGGACUCGUUUGCUUGAAAGUGAAUUCUUCACAAGCUGUAUUCGGCAGAUGAGAAAUGGAAACAAGAGCUCGUCUGUUUUUUUUCUAAUGACGUGGUACACGAAGUGGAGUACAAAGCCGCUUCAUCUUCCAUUUUAGUGUUGGGUACACGCCAUGACUGAGCCGGCUCAGAGAUAACACCACAGGCUAAAAUCAAAGACCAGAAAAAAAAUGCAUACAGAAUUUUUUAUUAUACAAAUAAAAUAAAAUGUUGAUAGA